This 4924-nucleotide long non-coding RNA is filed under the name Sus scrofa (pig). Its description in RNAcentral is "lncRNA (ENSSSCG00000060089.1)". The record is from RNAcentral. Lineage: Eukaryota; Metazoa; Chordata; Mammalia; Artiodactyla; Suidae.
ACCACUGGAAAAGACCAGAAUAUUUGGUGAUUUGAUAAGGUAUCAAACUACAGGCAAUCCAUAGCAACAAUAAAUUAAGUACACCAAAAACAAGGACUGAAUUUUCUUGAUGGUGAAGAGGACAAAACUGACUUCUUUUUUUUCUAUUCUUUUUUUGAAGAAAUAAAACCUAUUAUAUAAAGUAACACAUUUCAAUGUGAAAAAUGCAGGCUGUACAAAUCUUGAGGUUCUCACUGUACUAACAACAGACUCACAUUACACAGAUGGAGUUCCCUUCCUUAUUCGCCUCAUAAAUGUUAAGAGUAGCAUACACAGGUUUUUCAGUGUAGAUGAACACUCGGUAAACACUAUAAUCGGGACCUUUAACUUGUGUGUUUCCCUAGGCUUGGUUUAAUUAGGUUUGUAGCCUCAAUGUGACAAGAGUAAAAGAUUUUUCUUUGAAUACAUAUAUCCCAGUAAUUGUAGCACAUUCUCAGUGGUUGUUCUCAGCACAUGGUUAGUUGUUAGUUUUUGUUUCUUCUUCCUUUUUUUCUUUUUUUGUUUUAAUUUCAAGAAAAACUAAUGAGUUUCCAGAAGCAGUGUGAGUGCUUUGGGGCUGAAUGUGAUUUAAAACCGGCAGUAAAAGAAAAAGAAGACAGGGAAGGUAGCUGGUUAAUUGACCUUUAUUGUGCCUUCUGGUUCAUUUAGAAAUGGAAAUUAAAUUAACAUGAUAAUUCAGUCCUACUGUGUUAAGGCUGCUAUAAACCCAUUAAAUUUUAUGGCCAUUGAUUUAGCAUUUUUUUCUAUUAACUGGGUUUAAUUUUCAAAAUUGUCAUGCAGGUUCUGAAAAGUGGUUCAUCCACUUUGGUUCCUCCAAGUUACUAAUGUAUAGCCUUUCCUCUAAUGGUUCUCACUUAAUUAUUCAAGUGCAGAGGGCCCAACUGCCCUCAAAUGUCUGGAUUAAUUUAGAAACUAACCCCACUGAAAGUCCUUUUAAGAAGAGAGGAAUGUUUAGGAACAGGAAAAGUCAGUGAAAUUCCCUAAGGCACAUAGCUAUUUUUUUUAAGAUUUUAUCUUAAAACUAAUCCUGACAGAGAAAAUAUUGUGGAUUUCUUUUUGUGAGCCCAAGAGAGUCAGGAGAAGAUUUUGCAUUGGUGUUUCUCUUUUUGCAGUUUCUUUUAAAAUGCAGCCAUUCCUUGUAUUUCACUUAGGUUCCCGAACAUCUUUUUAGCUACUAAUUUAGAAUUGUGACCAAAGUUUUUUAAAAUUUAAAAGGUAUAACUUUUUACUAAAAGCUAAAACUAUUUUCUGGAUUCUCUCUUUAGCAGAUGUAAAUCCUAAGUAUAUAAUUUUUCAGCAUCGCACAUCUUUACUUACUAACUUAAAUAUUAGUUUUUUGUUGAAACUUACUGACACUUCAAGUCUCCGAGAAUUUCAAAAAGAUUUUCUAAUUUAAUCUCAUGGUUAUUUCCGAAAAGCAGAAAUGUGAUAAUGUUAUGUUUUUGAUUCUUUACCACUAAAGACAAAAAGGCAGCCCACAGACCCACAACAAAGACACUAGGCCUGUAAAUAAUGGUGCACUUUCAACCUCUGUUUUUGAAUUCAAAGUGCCGAUGAGGGGAGUUCCCGUUGUGGCACAGAGGAAAUGAAACUGACUAGUAACCAUGAGGUUGUGGGUUUGAUACCUGGCCUUGCCCAGUGGAUUAAGGAUCCAGCCUUGUCCUGUGCUGUGGUGUAGGUUGCAGACAUGGCUUGGAUCUGGCAUUGCUGUGGCUGUGUCAUAGGUCAGCGGCUACAGCUCCCAUUAGACCCCUAGCCUGAGAACCUCCAUAUGCCGAGGGUGUGGCCCUAAAAAGACAAAAAAAAAAAAAGAGAAACUCAAUUUUUAAAAAUGCCACAUUAUAGCUAAUCUGUUUAGAGUCUACAUGGCUGUUUUUAUAUGUGCUUUUGAUAGUUUUAACAAUUGGUGAUCAUAAUUAAAAACCCUCAGAGCAUGUAAAGAUUGCCAUUGGAAAAUGGCAUAUAAAUAUUUUAGUCUUUUCUGGGCAAAGCAAACCAGGUUUUUCAUUAUCUAAGCACUGUUACCUUAGAUGUUUUCACUCUAAGUCAUUGUUUUCAGAGUUACAUAUACUUCCUGGUUUAAUGAACAGUCAGAUAUGAUGCCCAAUAGAAAAUGGUGGCCUAUGAGAAAAGAUGUACAGAGAAAGGGAAGAUUAUUUCCUUAAAUUGGUUAAAAAAAAAUGAUUAUGAAAAACUGUUGGAAUGGAGAGGAUUUAGAAGAACUUGCCAAUAAAAAUUGUGGAAGGAACCCUACCAGACAGAUCUUUUGAAGUUCCUCAUCUUGCACCCAGAAGAUGUUCAAUAUAUAAACUUAACAAUUGCCAACACUUACCCACAUAGCACUGACUUUGUGCCCUGCACUCUUCUAAGACUCUUACAUGUAUUAACACAGAAUUCUUAUAUAUAAUUAACUCAGAAUUACUAUAAAGUGGGUACAGUAAUUACCCUCACCACCAUACAGAUAAGGAAACUGAAGUACAAAGGGGUUAAGUAGCUUGUGCAGGGAUUUGAACCUACACUGUCUAGCUAUUAUCAUCUGCAUUGAAAGACUGCUAUACUCUUGUGACUGUAACUUCAUUCAUUCCUACUCACCAGGCCUGAUAAUUCGGAUCAUUUUUGACUCAUCUUUUGUCAUUGUUCUCUUUCCUUCACACCUUACCCAUGUUAAAUCCUAAAAUCGGAGUUCCUGCCGUGGCUCAGUGGUUAACGAAUCUGAAUAGGAACCAUGAGGCUGCAGGUUCGAUCCCAGCCUCGUUCAGUGGUUUAAGGAUCCAGCGUUACUAUGAGCUGUGGUGUAGGUCACAGAUGAGGCUUAGACCCCUAGUGGCUGUGGCUCUGGAGUAGGCCGGCGGCUACAGCUCUGAUUAGACCCAUAUCCUGGGAACGUCCAUAUGAUGUGGGUGCAGCCCUAGAAAAAGACAAAAAUUAAAAAAAAAAAAAAUUCCUAAAGUCCUAAUCAGUUUGUUUUCCCUGGUCAUGAAAUCUAAAAACAUUCCCUUGAGGAAAAUUUAUAAAGUGCUCAAUUGUGUUAAUACUUCAAAACUUGAAGCCCCAACCUCUGCUCUGAGGGUAAGAAGCAGAAUGAGAGGGGAGGAGGGAGAAUGAGAAUGAGUGCAAAGGGGAGAAAGCACUCCUGCAUCCUUUUCCCAUGUUUUUAUGGGUUUCAGUUUAUAGGACUUGUUAGAAUAGCUUUGGUUUCUUUUGCAAGCCCUGUGCCUGCAAUAGAGGAGCUGCUGAAGUAGAAGUGAUUUAUCUUUUGUCUCUUCCUUAACUGUGAACUUCAACACUCACUUCUAUCACAGCACCUAUAACACUUUAUUCCUUCCUUACAUAGUGGUCUCCUUUAGACUCCCAAAAUUUGGAAUCAAAAAAUGGUUUUGACAAAGACCACAGAUGACUUAAAACGUCUCAAGACUUUGAAUAAUGUUUGCUCAUUAGUGUUCAGUAAGUGACUGACGACAGAGUGAUCUAAUGCAUGCCUGAAAUAAACUAGCCUUCACCACGAAGCAUAAAUGACAGUAGAGACUAUGUUCUGGUUAUAUUUUUUUCUGGAAAAAAAAUGUUUGAGAAAAUGUAUCAUAUCAAUAUAAAUAAAUACUAAUGUUUACUAAUUUGUACUUAAGGUAAAUGUUUAUUAUUAUUUAAAUGGAUAAAUUUAAGGGAAUAAUUUCCUCACUAAACUUCAUAUUGUUCAGCUUGAUCUAAUUCUGGUUUUAUCUUCCAGACCUAUAUAGUUAAGCGAACCUGAAUCUUUUCUUCAAUCAGAACCCUGUGACAUAUGCUCUGCUGAUGCCUAGCCUAAGGACCUGAGGCUAUAUCCAGUCUUAAAAUAUCUGCUUGCAUCUUACAAGAAGUGUAUGGGCAUUCAUUUCUCUCCUCAUUGUGCAAGGGUUUAGCUCCUAUCCAGUUUCUCAGGGAACAAAUCUCACUUUCUUCCUUACCAUUGUUUACCGUGGCUUGGUUUUUAAAUUCCCCUCAAAUCUUUCAUAAAUUCUUGUCCUUACUAGUAGCAGGAAAAAAAAAAAAAAAAGGAGGAAGGAAUAAAAAAUAAAUUAAAAUAUAUACUUUAAAUUUACACAAUUUCGGAGUUCCCAUCAUAACUCAGUGGUUAAUGAACCCGACUAGAAACCACGAGGUUUCGGGUUUGAUCCCUGGCCUCGCUCAGUGGGUUAGGGAUCCAGCAUUGCUGUGAGCUGUGGUGUGGAUUGCAGAUGCAGCUCAGAUCCCUAGUUGCUGUGGCUCUGGCAUAGGCCAGCAGCUACAGCUCUGAUUAGACCCCUAACCUGGGAACCUCCAUAUGCUGUAGGUGCAGCCCUAGAAAAGAUAAAUAAAUAAAUAAAUAAAUAAAUAAAUAAAUAAAUAAAUUUACACAAUGUCAUAAGUCAAAUAUAUCCAUUGAAAAAAUAGAGUCAUCAGAAAAUUUUUAUAUCCACUUCUAAUUCUGAGGUGGUCUACUUUAUACAUGUUUUCACCUCCUUUCCAAUAAGACCAUAAUUUUCAGAGAAUGUCUUAUCUUUCCAGAGGAGAAUUCUAGAAAUGCUUACAAACUGAUGCAGCUAUCUGGCACAAAAUAUUUACUUUAUCACUUUGCUGCUUAUUGAAAAUGGAUAUUCUGAAAGAAUACAUAUUUUUCAAACAGAGUCAUGUAAUUAUAGUAUAAGCUUCUCAAAACAGAGUCCUGAAAUAGACCUGUCUGUAUGUUCUAUAGCAUCUGGUGUCACCAGUAAGUCCUGGGGAGAACAUGUAGUCUGCAAGGACAGAGCAGAGGAGCAGCAAUUUCAAGAGCUGGGUGAAGCUGAACACAUUACUUAUUACAUUCUAGUCACUGAAUCAAGGAGGAAAUUCAAUAAAAGGAUAACCAAGAAAUAGGGCCAAAUUUUGAAGU